UAGCAUAUCAAUAAGCGGAGGAAAAGAAACUAACAAGGAUUCCCCUAGUAACUGCGAGUGAAGCGGGAAAAGCUCAAAUUUAAAAUCUGGCAGCCUUUGGUUGUCCGAGUUGUAAUCUAGAGAAGUGUUAUCCGCGCUGGACCGUGUACAAGUCUCCUGGAAUGGAGCGUCAUAGAGGGUGAGAAUCCCGUCUUUGACACGGACUGCCAGGGCUUUGUGAUGCGCUCUCAAAGAGUCGAGUUGUUUGGGAAUGCAGCUCAAAAUGGGUGGUAAAUUCCAUCUAAAGCUAAAUAUUGGCGAGAGACCGAUAGCGAACAAGUACCGUGAGGGAAAGAUGAAAAGAACUUUGGAAAGAGAGUUAAACAGUACGUGAAAUUGCUGAAAGGGAAACGCUUGAAGUCAGUCGCGUUGUCCAGGGAUCAACCUUGCUUUUGCUUGGUGCACUUUCUGGUCGACGGGUCAGCAUCAAUUUUGACUAUUGGAAAAAGAUUAGGGGAAUGUGGCAUCUUUGGAUGUGUUAUAGCCCUUGGUUGCAUACAAUGGUUGGGAUUGAGGAACUCAGCACGCCGCAAGGCCGGGUUUUUAACCACGUACGUGCUUAGGAUGCUGGCAUAAUGGCUUUAAUCGACCCGUCUUGAAACACGGACCAAGGAGUCUAACAUGCCUGCGAGUGUUUGGGUGGAAAACCCGAGCGCGUAAUGAAAGUGAAAGUUGAGAUCCCUGUCGUGGGGAGCAUCGACGCCCGGACCAGACCUUUUGUGACGGUUCCGCGGUAGAGCAUGUAUGUUGGGACCCGAAAGAUGGUGAACUAUGCCUGAAUAGGGUGAAGCCAGAGGAAACUCUGGUGGAGGCUCGUAGCGAUUCUGACGUGCAAAUCGAUCGUCAAAUUUGGGUAUAGGGGCGAAAGACUAAUCGAACCAUCUAGUAGCUGGUUCCUGCCGAA
RNAcentral lists this ribosomal RNA (943 nucleotides) under uncultured Cortinarius. RNAcentral's name for it is "eukaryotic LSU rRNA". It matches the Rfam family "Eukaryotic large subunit ribosomal RNA", at positions 36 to 965 of the family's 3401-position model. Lineage: Eukaryota; Fungi; Basidiomycota; Agaricomycetes; Agaricales; Cortinariaceae. The record is from RNAcentral.